GCCUGGGUGGCGGAAUUGGUAGACGCAAGGGACUUAAAAUCCCUCGGUCAUUAUGGCUGUACGAGUUCGAUUCUCGUCCCAGGCACCA
RNAcentral lists this transfer RNA (88 nucleotides) under Deltaproteobacteria bacterium. RNAcentral describes it as "tRNA-Leu". It matches the Rfam family "tRNA". Rfam says of the family: Transfer RNA (tRNA) molecules are approximately 80 nucleotides in length. Their secondary structure includes four short double-helical elements and three loops (D, anti-codon, and T loops). RNAcentral also lists the same sequence under 1 other name. The record is from RNAcentral. Lineage: Bacteria; Pseudomonadati; Myxococcota; Myxococcia.